Molecule: ribozyme, 89 nt
Filed under: unclassified sequences
Description: HDV ribozyme from F. prausnitzii
Rfam family: HDV ribozyme from F. prausnitzii
Source: RNAcentral
GCUGCUCGUAAUAAUCACACACCUCUUCGUGGUGAGCAGCAGGCAACGAUCAAAGAAUCAGAAAUUCGGUAAUCGGCGAAGAUGUGAGA